UCCGAGUUGACCCCGGCAGUCUCCCAUGAGUCCCCGGCAUUACCCGCUGGCAACAUGGAACGAGGGUUGCGCUCGUUGCGGGACUUAACCCAACAUCUCACGAUACGAGCUGACGACAACCAUGCAGCACCUCUGCGGACUCCCUUGCGGGUCAGCCGGUGUUUCCACUAGCUUACCAUCCGUAGUUCAAGCCCAGGUAAGGUUCUUCGCGUAGCGUCGAAUUAAACCACAUGUUCCACCGCUUGUGCGGGCCCCCGUCAAUUCCUUUGAGUUUCAACCUUGCGGCCGUACUCCCCAGGCGGCUCAUUUAAUGCGUUAGCUGCGACGCGGAAGGGGUCGAUACCUCCCACAUCUAAUGAGCAUCGUUUAGGGCUAGGACUAC
This 382-nucleotide unclassified non-coding RNA is filed under the name uncultured Elusimicrobia bacterium. RNAcentral's name for it is "contains 16S-23S intergenic spacer region". Lineage: Bacteria; Pseudomonadati; Elusimicrobiota; Elusimicrobia. The record is from RNAcentral.